Molecule: ribosomal RNA, 253 nt
Filed under: uncultured bacterium
Lineage: Bacteria
Description: partial 16S ribosomal RNA
Rfam family: Bacterial small subunit ribosomal RNA
Source: RNAcentral
UACGAAGGGGGCUAGCGUUGUUCGGAAUUACUGGGCGUAAAGCGCGCGCAGGCGGUCUUCCAAGUCAGUGGUGAAAGCCCGGAGCUCAACUCCGGAACUGCCAUUGAAACUGUUAGACUUGAGGACGAGAGAGGUGAGUGGAAUUCCCAGUGUAGAGGUGAAAUUCGUAGAUAUUGGGAAGAACACCGGUGGCGAAGGUGGCUCACUGGCUCGUAUCUGACGCUCAGGCGCGACAGCGUGGGGAUCAAACAGG